Pocillopora verrucosa is the source of this 1678-nucleotide non-coding RNA. The record is from RefSeq and is a predicted model, not a curated record. Lineage: Eukaryota; Metazoa; Cnidaria; Anthozoa; Scleractinia; Pocilloporidae.
AUUAGAAAUUGUGUCCCGGUUUGGUUACAGCAGAACCGUAGAAAAAUAUAUUCGAUGGCUGCAAAAUACAGAAAUAGAGGAAAUAACGAUUGUCGUUCACACACACAGCCCACGUGCUGCGCAUACAGAGUCGAGAACAGGAAUGGAGAUCAUUCUCAAAUUCAGCUUUCUCUGGACAUAGUAGAAAUCUUUUCUUGAGGCUAGCAACUGGCAUUCUAGCUAUGAAAUAUUAUCAGGUUUGAGGUAAAGGUGAUCCUCGUGGAUGAAAGAAGAGAAAAUAAUUAAGGCAAAGGAAAGAGAGAGAGAAUAUAAAAUAGGGAAUAUGUGGAAUAUCAUAGUCUGUGCUCUGACAUCUGACAGAAAAAUUGAUGGACAGUUUUACGGGAACACUGUAUUUCUCCCAUGUAAUUUAUGACUGUCAGAUGGAACGUGAAACUCACAGACACGUUCAAUUUUUUCAGCUAUUAUAUUGAAAGGUGGUAUUGAUUUUACUGGCUAUUUAACUGGCUCUCACUCUGCAUGACUGACUUGCUAACAGCUUAAAUUACCAGCUGUUCAUCUAUCAGCCUCUUGGAUUUAGAGACAGACCUACAGAACAGUUGGUGAAUAAAAUGACUAAAUUAGUGACUAAAAGCACUUUUGAGCGCCGUCCUGACUGAUUGACUGACUGUCUGUUUGAUCUAGUGACUGUAUUGUAUUUCCUCAGAUGGUUAAACUGACAGUUUGUCUGAGUUGCUCCGACUGACUUACUGAGGUGUUUUGACGUAGUGUCAGACUUUCUGCUCGGUCAACAGACAAACAAACUGUUUUGCUGAGGUACGCUGUAAACUGAUUGGUUAAAUGGCAGAAACACUUUAAAACUAACUGGCUGACUGACUGACUGGCUCACUGUGUGACUGGCUUACUGACUGAUUUAAUGACUGACUGAUUGACUGGUCUGUUGUCUCAGUGGCUGGGCGUUCGGACCAUGGAUCCACAAAUGUACCCGCUAGGUGACGCUAGGAGGUACUAGGGCGACGCUAUGCACUAAAGUUAUGGACAUUAUCCGUGAAUUGAAAUAAGCUCGGAGCAGUAGUUUGGGAAUCAGUGCCGCUAUUUCAUUUCGAUUUCCAAGUGCAGUGAAUUUGAGCUUUGAGACUUACAAUACUUCCUCGCCCUGCUAUAGUAUAGUGCGUUGAAACAUUGAGGGGCACAGAUCGUAAGAAACUCGUGUGUGCUGGUGUCUUUCAGGUAAAUAGGGGAUUGCUUGAAGAGACUAACUGUACCUCAUUGUAAUUUGUGUAAGGGUGAAUUGAAAGUCGCAUGCUGAUCUCCUUAUCAUUCAUCAAUAGAUUUUGGAAGGAGCGUAGGGAAAGGAAAUGGGCUCAAGAUCACUUUAGCUCUUGAGCAGGCGUCUAAAGAAAAUGAGGAGGGCCGAACGAUAACGCAAAGACCUCAAGUUUAAAAGGGCGCUCAGGGGAGAAGAGAAUGUUUCCUUCAGAUUCUAAGAGAAGGGAAGGAGAAAACGAAAGGUCCAAGAAAGUACCGGCGUGGAAAGGAAGGGGAAGUUUGUUAACAUUCCAAACUAUCAAACUACAGUAGAUUUAAAGUGGUUUCAAUUUGAAAAUUUUUAUUGAUCUAUUGUGAGUUAGUUGUAUGUUGCAGAGUAAAGCUAUAUUAAAGAAGACUUCUGCCUUCU